This 393-nucleotide ribosomal RNA is filed under the name uncultured bacterium. RNAcentral describes it as "partial 16S ribosomal RNA". It matches the Rfam family "Bacterial small subunit ribosomal RNA", at positions 523 to 918 of the family's 1533-position model. The record is from RNAcentral.
AUACGGAGGAUGCAAGCGUUAUCCGGAUUUAUUGGGUUUAAAGGGUGCGUAGGCGGGACUGUAAGUCAGGGGUGAAAUACUGCAGCUUAACUGUAGCAUUGCCUUUGAAACUGCCGUUCUUGAGUACAGUUGAGGUAGGCGGAAUGUGGAGUGUAGCGGUGAAAUGCAUAGAUAUACCACAGAACGCCGAUUGCGAAGGCAGCUUACUAAGCUGUUACUGACGCUGAGGCACGAAAGCGUGGGGAUCAAACAGGAUUAGAUACCCUGGUAGUCCACGCUGUAAACGAUGAUUACUGGUUGUUAGCGAUAUAUAGCUAGUGACUGAGCGAAAGCAUUAAGUAAUCCACCUGGGGAGUACGUCGGCAACGAUGAAACUCAAAUGAAUUGGCGGGG